AUGACAUCUUGGAGAGGCCACAGCUGUCGUGAACACUCAUGCUCUGUGAGCAAACUGGAUAACAUCUCGGUGUAGCUGGAUAACAUCGAGGAGAGGCUCAUGGCUCUCCAACGGGAAUGAAUGACGACCUAAGUGGAUUACCUACGGAUAGUUUCCUGCCCUCAUUGUCUUCAGCUAAUGUCUUACUCACACCACAUAUGCAGGCCAUACAUGAGGAAGCACCCCAGAUUGCACAGGAUCAUGGACUGAAUUUCAUCACACAAGGUUUGCCUUUUGAUUCAAGCAGCCAACUUUCCCCAUCAAAUUCAGGAGAUCCACAGAGCCCCCGACGUGUAUCAAUUUGCAGGAUAAAGGUUGUUGAUGAUCUUUUGGCUGUAUUUAUGGACAGUAGCAUCAUCAGUGUGAGUUUAAAGAUGAACUUUGUAAAUGAAAAUGCUGUUGAUGAUGCUGGGGUGUCAAAGGAGGUUUACACUGUAUUUUGGGAGCAAUUUUUGGAACAGUGUGAAGGUGAAACUGAACAAGCUCCAAGGCUGAGGCCAGACUUUUGUGAGGCUGAAUGACAAGCAGUUGGACUGAUAUGGGUGAAAGACUCACUAGACCAUGGUGUCUUUCAGUGAGGCUGUCAGAGGCUUUCAUUUUACCUGCAUCCAUGGAGUGGACUCAGUUGAUGUCGACAUCCUGAUUACAUCGUUUCUCAACUAUCUCCCUGUUGUUGAGAGAUCAGCUGUUGAGAAGGCUCUCCAGGGCACAUUGGAUGAAAAUGAUGAAGAUGACCUGUUUGACAUUUUUACAAGGAUGGUUCCCACUUCCUACCACCUAAGAACAACAUGCAGCCUGCCAUUGAAACAAUGGCUCAUAAGGCCAUCCUCCAAGAACCAAAGUGGA
This is a long non-coding RNA of Oreochromis niloticus (Nile tilapia), 885 nucleotides long. RefSeq lists it as uncharacterized. The transcript is spliced from 3 exons. The record is from RefSeq and is a predicted model, not a curated record. NCBI's taxonomy places the organism in Eukaryota, Metazoa, Chordata, Actinopteri, Cichliformes, Cichlidae.